RNAcentral lists this unclassified non-coding RNA (338 nucleotides) under soil metagenome. RNAcentral describes it as "partial contains 5.8S ribosomal RNA, internal transcribed spacer 2, and large subunit ribosomal RNA". The stretch from base 1 to 120 matches the Rfam family "5.8S ribosomal RNA", at positions 35 to 154 of the family's 154-position model. The record is from RNAcentral.
GAUGAAGAACGUAGCGAAAUGCGAUAAGUAAUGUGAAUUGCAGAAUUCCGUGAAUCAUCGAAUCUUUGAACGCACAUUGCGCCCCUCGGUAUUCCGGGGGGCAUGCCUGUCCGAGCGUCAUUGCAACCUUCAAGCGCGGCUUGUGUGUUGGGUCUCGUCCCCCGUGGACGGGCCCGAAAGGCAGUGGCGGCACCGCGUCCGGUCCUCGAGCGUAUGGGGCUUUGUCACCCGCUCUGUAGGCCCGGCCGGCGCCAGCCGACACCCAACUUUAUUUCUAAGGUUGACCUCGGAUCAGGUAGGGAUACCCGCUGAACUUAAGCAUAUCAAUAAGCGGAGGA